GCUGCCUUAUCCAGAUACAACUGACCCACCAAAAGGCAUACUUAACCACUAUGCCCAAUGAGGAACCUACAUCAGAGUCUCUGGGACUCUCCCUAUAGCUUGCCAAUUUGCAUAUACAGGCCAGCUUCUCCACAAGGGGCAAAAUCUGCUGUCUGAUUCACAGCAUGGCAACUGAUCUAUCAAUCAACAUCGUCUGUCAUCAAGACACGCCUGUCAGCAGCCGUCCAUCACCAAACACUACCCAUAGCUCUGCAUCAUAGACCCUCAUGUACCAGCCCUUAUUCCACAAAGGAGGAUGAAGA
Mastomys coucha (southern multimammate mouse) is the source of this 302-nucleotide long non-coding RNA. RefSeq lists it as uncharacterized. The transcript is spliced from 2 exons. The record is from RefSeq and is a predicted model, not a curated record. NCBI's taxonomy places the organism in Eukaryota, Metazoa, Chordata, Mammalia, Rodentia, Muridae.